CCAAUAGCGUAUAUUAAAGUUGUUGCAGUUAAAAAGCUCGUAGUUGAAUUUCGGGGUCAGUAGGUUGGUCAUGCCACUGGUAUGUACUGGUCUCACUGAUUCCUCCUUCCUGAUGAACUGUAAUGCCAUUAAUUUGGUGUUGCAGGGAAUCUGGACUGUUACUUUGAAAAAAUUAGAGUGUUUAAAGCAGGCUAACGCCUGAAUACAUUAGCAUGGAAUAAUGAAAUAGGACGUUCGAUCCUAUUUUGUUGGUUUCUAGGAUUGACGUAAUGAUUAAUAGGGAUAGUUGGGGGCAUUAGUAUUCAAUUGUCAGAGGCGAAAUUCUUGGAUUUAUUGAAGACUAACUACUGCGAAAGCAUUUGCCAAGGAUGUUUUCAUUAAUCAAGAACGAAAGUUAGGGGAUCGAAGACGAUCAGAUACCGUCGUAGUCUUAACCAUAAACUAUGCCGACUAGGGAUCGGAUGAUGUUAAUUUUUUAAUGACUCAUUCGGCGCCUUACG
RNAcentral lists this ribosomal RNA (500 nucleotides) under uncultured Glomeromycotina. RNAcentral describes it as "partial small subunit ribosomal RNA". It matches the Rfam family "Eukaryotic small subunit ribosomal RNA", at positions 591 to 1092 of the family's 1831-position model. Lineage: Eukaryota; Fungi; Glomeromycota. The record is from RNAcentral.